This 5109-nucleotide long non-coding RNA is filed under the name Nicotiana benthamiana. RNAcentral describes it as "long non-coding RNA (NBEN_LNC034053)". Lineage: Eukaryota; Viridiplantae; Streptophyta; Magnoliopsida; Solanales; Solanaceae. The record is from RNAcentral.
UUCUCUAAGGUCCUGCAUAAAUUGGUUGAGGUGUUUCUCAAGUGCUUGUAUACAAUAAACGAGGGAUCAAGUUAGCUUAAUGUACAUUUUCUUACUGAAAUUUGACUGCAAUAGAACUCAAUAUAACCUGAUGAGUUAUCUAUUAAAUGUAUCAGAUAUUAUUUAGGUGCAAUCAAGGAACUUGAGUUGCACUAAUAUAUUUGAACUGACCCUAGGAGAGUGUGGUAAUAUUAUUUACUAUAACAUUUGAACUGAAAGUAUUUGGAAUCCUAUGUGAUUCCAUAGAUCACUAAACUUCUAUUCGCUGAAUAGCUUUAAACAAGUUAAGCAAGUAAAUACACGAGAAAACAGGAAACCACACCAUUUCCAUUUCUAUUUUAAUUUUUUCGGACCCAAAAAUAUCCUGGUGGUGCGGGCUGAGGAGUUCACAAAUCAAAUCAUAAUCAUUAAUUUGUUAUCUUUACUGUUUGACCAAAAAAUAUUAAGUCAUUUUGUUAAAUUAACUAAAUGAGAUGAUAGAGGGUAAAUCCUAGUUAAAUAUAAUAAAUCUUAGAUCUGAAAUUGGUUAAUACAAAUAAUGGAUAAUUGCAUUUGAACCAAUUUAAUAUAAAGGGAUAUUAAAUGGUACUGUUAUAACCUUGUGGGAGAAUAACGAUAAGCAAUCAAUAUAUUAAAUGACAAUAAAUAUAAAUAGAGAGAAUGAUUCAAAUAUUAAAUGAGAUGGAUGAAUCUCCCUCUGAAUCAUGUAAGGUAAACAAACAUGGGAAUAUAAGGAGCUUUCUCGGAUCUGAUGCGAGAUAGUGGGAUGAACAACAAAUCGAAUCUUUAUGUAAAGAUAAUGCUUGUAAUUUACAUGAGAGUCCAUUUUUCAUGAGAGAACUUAUCAUAUAGAAUAUUACAUGCCCCCUUCUUCUCUCUUCCUUCCCCCUUAUAUAAGACAUAUCAUUUACCUAUCUUAAAUUACAAGUACAGAGAAUAUUCAGUAGAAUAUUUCCCUAAAACAUUUUACUACAAAACUAGCCGUUAUGGCUGACCAGAAUUCCUAACCUCGACCCCGAUUAAUCAGCUCGUCCAUUGAUUUCUUUAAUCUUGUGCAAGAUCUCGGCCUAAUCGCCUACCGAUAAUCUAAUCUCAUGCUAGUUUUCCUUAGUCAUAUUUUUACCCAUACAGUUAGUCCUUCCGCCUGUCGAUGUUGGUUUUGGACGAGAUCAAUAGGCAGACUUUGCUAGUUACCACUUGAGAAAUCUGGGUGAGUAGGUCGAGUAAUAAAGUUCUCGGGGCGAGAUGAUGACAUGGUGCUAUAAGAGGCACAUAUGACAGUUAUGUAAGUUUGCAAUGACAUUAUUUCAUUAUGUGUUAUUAUGGCUUAUGUUCCCAAUACGUUAUAUCGUUUCCUGCACCCUUACCUCUUUAGAAUCAAUGUGGCGGCGCUUGGACUUCUCGAUUGGGGUUCUAAUGAUCUUAUAAAUAGGGAUGAGAACUCCCUAUUUGGCCUGCUGCACUUCUUAGGCAUUUGAAUCUUCAAGCUUUCCCAUCUUCUUCUCAGAACUUUUGCAUCCUUGUUUCUCCCUUCUCCAACGUUUCCUGCUAUUAUUACCCCUUUCAUACUUGCAAUUUUCUUCCUAUAUACGUGAUUAGAAAUGGGAGUGCAUCUUCUAACCCCAAGGGAGUUUUUUAUCUUGUCCUAUUCACUGUGUACAAGCCUCCUCAUGACGAAGGAGUGUCCAUUAUUGUAGAAGACGAGAGUUUCCCCACUAUAGAUGAGAUAAUUCCUCAUUCGAGGAAGACCAGGUCGGACUUCUCAAAGCGACUUGAGGAGGAUCCUGAGCCUGACAUUUCUGAGAUAGAUGCGACAGGGCUUAUUAAAUUUAGGGCUAAAGGGCGAAUUCCAGACCAUGUCGACCUUAUCCCGGUUGGUAAUAAUUUUCAUUCUAUUUUCAGCAGCACAUGGCACCCCUAAAAGGCUACAUAUAUACCAUUCUUUCACACAAAAAGGUCAGAGAUUGAGACCCUGAAAAUACAAAAGGUUUCAUGCAUUCUUUUCCUUGAGUUUGGCUCCAAUUUCUUCUUUCUGGUUUUUCUUUUAGUACUUAAAAGGCUUUUCAUAGAAUUUCUUGUCUUCUUGGUCAAAAAAGGGGUUCAAAUAAGGUGAGUCUUGCUGCUGAUUCGUUGCUAGGCUCCUGCAUUUUGCUAUUGUUGAAUUUAUUUUGAUAUCCGGGUACUUCUUGGACCAUGAAUGACAUGAAUAUGUACUCCAAUGUGGAGAUAUAAUAAUACAUGUUGCCUAUUGAACUCUAUUCACAUGUUCUUUAAGCUCAUUUAGUCUCUGUAGUAGUUUUAGCGUUCCUUUUAUGUGUUUUUAACUCAUUCAUGUUACUUAUUUUGCAUCUCAUCUUGAAGUUUGGAUUAGGAUCUUAGUUUAUUACGCUGGCUUGUGAUUUGGCUAAAAAUCCCCUUUUUGAGUAUAUAUAAUGCUUAAACUUUCUGUAGCAUGGGUCUAAGUUAGAUGAUGAACAUCUUCUAUUGAUUUUGUUUAAAUUUGUUUAUGUCAAUGUUGAUUCUCGAUUCAAGGUUGGUCCAUAUCAUAAUUUCGUUAGUUUAUUUCCUUUUAGAAUCUGGUUUCGAGUAUUUGAGUUCUUUUUAAGAGCCAUAAUAAUUUGAGCAAGAAGUUAUUUGUUUGAUAAUUACUAUAUAUUUCCAAGUUAAACUAUUUAGGUUUUGCGUACUGCUAGGAUAGUUGUACCUGUUAAUUCAGCAUAAUUAAUGAGUAGUUUAAAUCCUAGAUGUAUAUUACUAACAUUAAUAAUAAAACAACAUUUCUUUUUAGACGUAUAACAUGGUUAUCUGGGUGUUGUGGUAUUUGGGGCUUGCAUAUCAUAUUGUUGCAUGUUGAUUGUAGUUAGGUAGGUCUGGCCAGUUUUUGUUAGGCCUCAGAUAUUUCCACUCCUCUAUUUGGGGUCGAUUUCAAGCCUCACACCCAUCAACUCUGAUACCCCCACCCCACUCCACCCCACCCCCACACACAGAAACAGUUUAAAUAAUGUAUUGGUCCUGGACAUGUGGCCCCCUUGGAAAUGGACAACCGUCUGCCUGGCCAUAUUUCUGGGUUCAUUUUGAGCCUAGUUUACCUUUUCAAUUAUUUCUUUGGGCGUAAGCUCAAACCAAAAUUAGCUCUAAAUAAUUAACGGCCCAUCAUGUACCCCAAACCUUAUUACUAAUAGUUAUACAUUAAUUUUAAAUCAUUUGUAAGUAGGAAUAUCCUUUAGGCCUAAUUAAGUGUAACUCUUUUAAUUGUAUUGAGGUGUGCCGUCCUAAUUAAAUCACUUAUGGCCCUCUUAUUAAGUAUUAUAAGUUAGACACUAAAAAUGAAUUUUGUAUGGCGCGUUAACUAAAUAAAUUAUCAUAGCUACGGUACGCCUCCCGUGACGUAGUUGUAAUACAUAAUUCUCAAAUCCAGGUGUACAUUUCAUGCGACCCAACUUCUAAUAAUAAAAACAAACAUGUCUGAACCGCGGGCGCAUUUAAUGUAGCGUAUUUUAUGAUGCAUUUUCAAAAAAAACAAACAAGUGUAUGACGAUCAAGAAUUUUUCCUAAAAAUAUUAAAAGCAGCUUUAAAAGGGACAAAAUACACAUAGGCUUCAAAAAUGUUUAAAAUCAGAUAAAUAGGCCAAUAAUAAUAGUUGAGCACCCGUGCUAAAACCACGAAACCCAGGAAUGCCUAAUGUCACACCUCCUUUUCACCCGGGAAGAGGAAAAAAGGAGUUUUUCCAAUUUAAGUGACAUUAUUUGAAAUGAGAUUGAUUUAUUUGUAUUUAAGCGUCGCCCCUUGGAAUGAAUAUUUACGAUAUCCCAAGUCACCAUUUUAAAAUCCUAAUCAAGAAAAUUGUCUCUGAUUAAGCCUGCGAAAUACAGAAGAACGGGUAAGGAAUUCUGUUAACUUGGAAAAAGGUAUAAGACACUCGCGAAUUUCCAUGGUUCUAGCAUGGUCACUUUAAUAAUUAUACCUGAUUUAACUAAUUUUGGAUAUUUUAUGUUCUAGAGAAAUUUAUGCACUUUUGCCUUAAACCGCUUUUAAUUGCUUGAUUUCUUGUAAUUACAUAAUUAUCUUGAAAUGAAUCACGCGUACGUGUAUUCAUUUUGUUUGGUGUGUCAGGAAUCAUGUCAUGCGUACGUGUACACAAUUGAUAACACUUUAUAAUUAUUAAAAAUAUAUGACCAAAGUCAUGCAAAUGUGUACCUUAGUUUUCUUUUGAAAAUCGACGCUUCAAUCACGUCAUGCGUAUAUAUACGCAAUCACAAUAAUAAAUUAAAAGCGCGCCUAGAAGCAUACUACUGGUGUUCAUUAUUAUUUUCCUAAGCUUGGGAUAUUAUGAAGCUAUAAUUUAUGGAGGAAAUAAUAUAAUGUAUUUAGUAAGCUAAUGAGCCAAAGGACUAUUUGUGCUUUCAAUAUACGUAAUUCUAGUGAACUGCACAUCUGAAAAAUUGAAAAAUCGAAUAAGGAUAGUGAUAUUAAAAGCAAAAGAAUGUCCACACGUCGCCAAGACUUUAUUAACUCAUAUUUGUUAAACAAAACAAGAUUUGAAAUUUUUGAACUUCUGCUCAUGUUCCAAAUAAUAUGUAACUUGAAUUUUCAAUUAUAAAGAACUAAAGAUAAACAGAUUUUUAAGAACUACAACAGUAAUCUACAAGCCAAACUAGCAAGAUAACCAAAUGACAAAAAUCAAUAUCACAAUGAAUAAACUUCACAAAUUUUUUUAUUCAAACGAUAUAUUCAUAUGUAUAGCAAUCAAAAACUUAAACGAGUAGAAGGAUGAACCUCAAUGGAGAAAAUUUCUUUCAUGCUAAUAGUGAAUCUUCGACGUCAGAUUACAAUGAAACGCCUACAAGCUUGAAAGCGAGCAGGACAUUGACUGUAGCCAUACCAUACGACCUCGCUAAUUCGACCGCAAACCUACACCUACGACCUCGACGGAACUCGAACUCGAAAAUGCUGCUGAGUUAUUUAGAAAAGAUGAUUGUUUUAAGGUAUUUUCAUGUGGUUGUUUGGCUUGUUUCUGGGCUGGUUGGGGUGUUUUGCGGGUGGAGAAAAGGGGCUAUUGGCUGUGUUUA